This 373-nucleotide unclassified non-coding RNA is filed under the name Hevea brasiliensis (rubber tree). Lineage: Eukaryota; Viridiplantae; Streptophyta; Magnoliopsida; Malpighiales; Euphorbiaceae. The record is from RNAcentral.
AAUCACUCGCUUUCAUUCCACCCACCUCCUCAAUCCACGAUCCAGGGGUGUAGCUCAAGAUUUUAUUUUUGGCUUCCUCCAAAUGGUCCUUAUGGAACUGCAGUUCCUCAUAGCUCUUGAGAACAUCCAUAUAUACAUUCCUUAUCUGCUUUUUAUUCAUCUCAUCAAUUAUAUCUGAAGAAGCUCUAACGAAUUCCUCCGAAUCCACAGAAAUAUUCUCUACUUUUGUGCCAAAACGAUCACUACCACUGAGCGAGCUUAGCGGGUUAUUAGGGAAGUUCUCAUCAAGAGAUGAUUCUUCAGUGGAAUGGAUGAUAGGAGAAUGAGGGGAUGUAGUAUCUCCACCCAUAACUGUAAGCCUGCAAAACUCUAU